This 429-nucleotide unclassified non-coding RNA is filed under the name soil metagenome. RNAcentral's name for it is "partial contains 5.8S ribosomal RNA, internal transcribed spacer 2, and large subunit ribosomal RNA". The stretch from base 1 to 120 matches the Rfam family "5.8S ribosomal RNA", at positions 35 to 154 of the family's 154-position model. The record is from RNAcentral.
GAUGAAGAACGUAGCGAAAUGCGAUACGUAAUGUGAAUUGCAGAAUUCAGUGAAUCAUCGAAUCUUUGAACGCAUAUUGCGCUCUCUGGUAUUCCGGAGAGCAUGCUUGUUUGAGUAUCAGUAAACACCUCAACUCCCUUUUCUUUUUUGAAAUUGGAGCUGGACUUGAGUGAUCCCAACGCUUUCUUCCAAGAAAGUGGCGGGUUGCUUGAAAUGCAGGUGCAGCUGAACUUUUCUCUGAGCUAUAAGCAUAUCUAUUUAGUCUGCCUAAAAAACAGAUUAUUACCUUUGCUGCAGCUAACAUAAAGGAGACUAGUUCUUGUGCUGACUGAUGCAGGAUUCACAGAGACAGCUUCGGCUGACUUUGUAAACUCGAUCUCAAAUCAAGUAAGACUACCCGCUGAACUUAAGCAUAUCAAUAAGCGGAGA